Pelobates cultripes (western spadefoot toad) is the source of this 214-nucleotide non-coding RNA. NCBI's taxonomy places the organism in Eukaryota, Metazoa, Chordata, Amphibia, Anura, Pelobatidae. The record is from the annotation of a GenBank genome assembly.
CUCAUAGAGAUGAAUUGAAUCAAUGCAUCUCUAUGAGGAAAGUUCAGUGUCUGCAUGCAGAGGGAGGAGAUACUGAAUGUUUGGAUGCAUUUUAGGCAGCCAUGACCCAGGAGGGAUCUCUAACAGCCAUCUGAGGAGUGGCCAGUGAAGUUAUCACUAGGCUGUAAUGUAAACACUGCAUUUUCUCUGAAAAGACAGUGUUUACAGCAAAAAG